CCAGAAAUACAGGCCCAUCCUGGGCGCCAAGUGACUGGAAAUCGACCAAAAUGUCACCGUUGGCUUGCCUUUGGCUCAGCCAAGAUGGUUCAAGAACACUCACAUUCUCCUACCUAGAAACUCUCUCUGAACUCCCGCCUGGGCUCCAGUCAGUUGGCCCCAGAAGACCUGAAGAGGGGACCCCGAACUGGCUGGGAGGGGGUUCCCCAGGGCCACUGCCCCCAUUGUAAUGCCUUUCUGGAACAGCUGGGUGCCAUGCUUCAAGGUGAGUUCCCCAUCGCCUGCUAGACAGAAAGGACCCACUGCUCCUUAAGGAGGCUCGCCCUGGUCUAAGAUGUAGGCUGUAUCUAGAGGAUGGGAACUCACUUGUGAGUGGCUCGUGGGCCCUAGACCUUCCUGCUUUGCAAAGGCUUUGUAAAUGGGCCCGUGUUUAGGGGCAGCUCGGUGACGUGUGUGGGGAGAGAGCCAGGCUUGGAGACUGGGGCUCCUGGGUUCAAAUCUGGCCUCAGACACUUCCUAGCUGUGUGACCCUGGACAAGUCACUUAACCUCCCCCCCUUGCCCAGCCCUGACUGCUCUUCUGCCUUGAGACUGAUACUGAGUAUUGAUUUUAAGAUGGAAGGUAAGGUGGGUUGUUUUUUUUUUUAAUAUUCCUGUGCUUUUACAUGUCCCUUGCAAAUCCCAUCCCUUAGCAAGGGAGUUCAGGGUUCUCCCUUCCCUGAGGGUCACCCAUCUCUCUUCUCUGAGCCAAGUCCCCCUCCAUAGUCAGGGGCAGAGCCAGGGUGACCAGGAGGGCUUGUUCCCUUCUAGCUUUUGGCCCCGGGGUACCUCCAGGUUGGGCAGCAUCUUCAAGACCAGCAGAGGAGAAGGCGAAGGCUGUGGGACCGCUUCAGAAAGCCGUGGAGGGUCCCACCAAGCAUGGCCCAAGGGGGGGCCGAGCUCCCCGGAGUGACCUGAAGGACAUCGAUCGGGUUAAAGAGCAGCACCGACUGGUGACGGCACAGUUGCAGGAUCUGUUUGGGGAGAGGCGAGAAAGGCCCGGCAGGGCUGGACAGCCCCCCAGAGAGUGGCCGGAGGGGAGCUCCGGGGACCAGGGGGCCAAGAAGCCCCAAGUGGAGCAGCUAAACUGAGGUUCUGCUGGCACUCUCGGGAGCCUGACAGCCUUCCUCACUUCGGGUAGGUCUUGCACGCUGCCGUCCUGUCCCUCCUUGGAG
Molecule: long non-coding RNA, 1213 nt
Filed under: Monodelphis domestica (gray short-tailed opossum)
Lineage: Eukaryota; Metazoa; Chordata; Mammalia; Didelphimorphia; Didelphidae
Description: lncRNA (ENSMODG00000048573.1)
Source: RNAcentral